UACGGAGGGUGCGAGCGUUGUCCGGAAUCAUUGGGCGUAAAGGGCGCGUAGGUGGCCCGGUCAGUUCGUGGUGAAAGCGCGGGGCUCAACCCUGCGUCGGCUAUGAAUACUGCCGCGGCUGGAGCACUGUAGAGGCAGGCGGAAUUCCGGGUGUAGCGGUGGAAUGCGUAGAGAUCCGGAAGAACACCGGUGGCGAAGGCGGCCUGCUGGGCAGUUGCUGACACUGAGGCGCGACAGCGUGGGGAGCAAACAGG
Molecule: ribosomal RNA, 254 nt
Filed under: uncultured bacterium
Lineage: Bacteria
Description: partial 16S ribosomal RNA
Rfam family: Bacterial small subunit ribosomal RNA
Source: RNAcentral